Molecule: long non-coding RNA, 215 nt
Filed under: Manihot esculenta (cassava)
Lineage: Eukaryota; Viridiplantae; Streptophyta; Magnoliopsida; Malpighiales; Euphorbiaceae
Description: long non-coding RNA (MESC_LNC004819)
Source: RNAcentral
GCAAUUCUCAAACAUGAAUACAACUCACUGCAAUUGAUUCAACAUAAGUUUAAAGAGUCAUCACAUCAAUGGGGUCAUGGAAAGAAAAACUCAUCUAACAUAGUUCAUCAGUUUGAGUAGAGCAAAACAAAAAGAAGAAGAAGGUUGUGGUUGUGGUUGUGGUGUAUUAUUGAAAGCAUAAAUGAAAAAGGAAAUUGAAAAGAAAUUAAACUGUG